GUCUACAGUCACAUCACCCUGAAUGACCCUAGUCUCACUUGACCUCAGAAGCCAAGUAGGGUUGGGCCUGGUUAACUCUUGGAUGGGAGAGUCCUGUCUGGAGGAACCCAGUCUUGUGUCUC
RNAcentral lists this ribosomal RNA (122 nucleotides) under Nannospalax galili (Upper Galilee mountains blind mole rat). Lineage: Eukaryota; Metazoa; Chordata; Mammalia; Rodentia; Spalacidae. The record is from RNAcentral.